GAGGGUAGAGUUCAGUGGUAGAGUGUGUGCUUAGCACGCACAAGGUCCUGGGUUCAAUGCCCAGUACACCCA
This 72-nucleotide transfer RNA is filed under the name Camelus ferus (Wild Bactrian camel). It matches the Rfam family "tRNA". From Rfam's summary of the family: Transfer RNA (tRNA) molecules are approximately 80 nucleotides in length. Their secondary structure includes four short double-helical elements and three loops (D, anti-codon, and T loops). Further hydrogen bonds mediate the characteristic L-shaped molecular structure. tRNAs have two regions of fundamental functional importance: the anti-codon, which is responsible for specific mRNA codon recognition, and the 3' end, to which the tRNAs corresponding amino acid is attached (by aminoacyl-tRNA synthetases). tRNAs cope with the degeneracy of the genetic code in two manners: having more than one tRNA (with a specific anti-codon) for a particular amino acid; and 'wobble' base-pairing, i.e. permitting non-standard base-pairing at the 3rd anti-codon position. Lineage: Eukaryota; Metazoa; Chordata; Mammalia; Artiodactyla; Camelidae. The record is from Rfam by way of RNAcentral.